This 72-nucleotide transfer RNA is filed under the name Bos taurus (domestic cattle). It matches the Rfam family "tRNA". From Rfam's summary of the family: Transfer RNA (tRNA) molecules are approximately 80 nucleotides in length. Their secondary structure includes four short double-helical elements and three loops (D, anti-codon, and T loops). RNAcentral also lists the same sequence under 1 other name. The record is from Rfam by way of RNAcentral. Lineage: Eukaryota; Metazoa; Chordata; Mammalia; Artiodactyla; Bovidae.
UCCCUGGUGGCUCAGACAGUAAAGAAUCUGCCUGUAAUGCAGGAGACCCAGGUUCAACCCCGGGUCAGGAAA